GUGGGGAAUAUUGGACAAUGGGCGCAAGCCUGAUCCAGCCAUGCCGCGUGAGUGAUGAAGGCCUUAGGGUUGUAAAGCUCUUUUAUCCGGGACGAUAAUGACGGUACCGGAGGAAUAAGUCCCGGCUAACUUCGUGCCAGCAGCCGCGGUAAUACGAAGGGGGCUAGCGUUGCUCGGAAUCACUGGGCGUAAAGGGCGCGUAGGCGGCGUUUUAAGUCGGGGGUGAAAGCCUGUGGCUCAACCACAGAAUGGCCUUCGAUACUGGGACGCUUGAGUAUGGUAGAGGUUGGUGGAACUGCGAGUGUAGAGGUGAAAUUCGUAGAUAUUCGCAAGAACACCGGUGGCGAAGGCGGCCAACUGGACCAUUACUGACGCUGAGGCGCGAAAGCGUGGGGAGCAAACAGGAUUAGAUACCCUAGUAGUCC
RNAcentral lists this ribosomal RNA (425 nucleotides) under uncultured bacterium. Its description in RNAcentral is "bacterial SSU rRNA". It matches the Rfam family "Bacterial small subunit ribosomal RNA", at positions 354 to 796 of the family's 1533-position model. The record is from RNAcentral.